UCUGUUGUGAACUAUUUCUCUAAAAUUUAUUUAGCUAAAUGGAUUGCUAGGUUUGACUAUUUUUUGUUUCCUCCUUUUAUCAAACUCCUUAUCAUAUUUUCAUUCGGCUUUUAUUGCUUUUUAGGAGCUAUGACCACUAAGCCAAACUUUUUAGAUUGAGUAAAGGUUUAUAUUCUCCUUUUUGAACUUAUUAUGGGAAUGAAGAUAUCGAGAUUUCAUAAAAAGUGCUAUAGAUUUUCACCAAUCCAAGAUAUUCUAUAGCAACAAUUGAAAAGGACUUUGCUAUAAAUAAAAUUCUAACCUUCAAAUCCUCAAACUUCAUCCUCUACUCAAGCUUUGGAGCCAACUGAUGUUUGGCCAAAACCCUAUUUACUUUGGCCAAGUCAAAUGAAUUCUUUAGCCCUUCUCUCUUCUUCGACAUGAAAGCUUUCAAGUCUAGCAAAGUCAUACUAACACUUGCUUUAGGGAAUGAAUCACUAUAAACCAAUAUCACUUUUUUAUCUUUCUUUAGAAAUUUGAGCCCUAUAUUAAUAAUAACUUUCUACAUGAUAUUGCGGAGGAUGAUAUGGUCGGUAUGGUGAUGACUCCAUUUGUGCCACUUACAAUACCUCUUAUCCUUC
This 620-nucleotide long non-coding RNA is filed under the name Elaeis guineensis (African oil palm). RNAcentral's name for it is "long non-coding RNA (EGUI_LNC031748)". Lineage: Eukaryota; Viridiplantae; Streptophyta; Magnoliopsida; Arecales; Arecaceae. The record is from RNAcentral.